This 253-nucleotide ribosomal RNA is filed under the name uncultured bacterium. RNAcentral's name for it is "partial 16S ribosomal RNA". It matches the Rfam family "Bacterial small subunit ribosomal RNA", at positions 524 to 776 of the family's 1533-position model. The record is from RNAcentral.
UACGUAGGGAGCAAGCGUUUUUCGGAUUUACUGGGCGUAAAGGGCGCGUAGGCGGCGCGGUAAGUCACUUGUGAAAUCUCUGAGCUUAACUCAGAACGGCCAAGUGAUACUGCAGUGCUAGAGUGCAGAAGGGGCAAUCGGAAUUCUUGGUGUAGCGGUGAAAUGCGUAGAUAUCAAGAGGAACACCUGAGGUGAAGACGGGUUGCUGGGCUGACACUGACGCUGAGGCGUGAAAGCCAGGGGAGCAAACGUG